This 798-nucleotide ribosomal RNA is filed under the name uncultured bacterium. RNAcentral's name for it is "bacterial SSU rRNA". It matches the Rfam family "Bacterial small subunit ribosomal RNA", at positions 559 to 1355 of the family's 1533-position model. The record is from RNAcentral.
CGUAAAGAGCUCGUAGGCGGUUUGUUGCGUCGGCUGUGAAAACCUGAGGCUCAACCUCAGGCCUGCAGUCGAUACGAGCAGACUAGAGUGUUGCAGGGGAGGCUGGAAUUCCUGGUGUAGCGGUGAAAUGCGCAGAUAUCAGGAGGAACACCGGUGGCGAAGGCGGGUCUCUGGGCAACAACUGACGCUGAGGAGCGAAAGCGUGGGGAGCGAACAGGAUUAGAUACCCUGGUAGUCCACGCCGUAAACGUUGGGCGCUAGGUGUGGGGCUCAUUCCACGAGUUCCGUGCCGCAGCUAACGCAUUAAGCGCCCCGCCUGGGGAGUACGGCCGCAAGGCUAAAACUCAAAGGAAUUGACGGGGGCCCGCACAAGCGGCGGAGCAUGUUGCUUAAUUCGAUGCAACGCGAAGAACCUUACCUAGGCUUGACAUGCACGGGAAAUCCUCCAGAGAUGGUGGGUCCGUAAGGGCCGUGCACAGGUGGUGCAUGGUUGUCGUCAGCUCGUGUCGUGAGAUGUUGGGUUAAGUCCCGCAACGAGCGCAACCCUCGUUCUAUGUUGCCAGCACGUCAUGGUGGGGACUCAUAGGAGACUGCCGGGGUCAACUCGGAGGAAGGUGGGGAUGACGUCAAAUCAUCAUGCCCCUUAUGUCUAGGGCUGCAAACAUGCUACAAUGGCCGGUACAAAGGGCUGCGAUACCGCGAGGUGGAGCGAAUCCCAAAAAGCCGGUCUCAGUCUCGCAUUGGGGUCUGCAACUCGACCCCAUGAAGUUGGAGUCGCUAGUAAUCGCAGAUCAGCAA